GGGUUGUGAGGUUAAGCGACUAAGCGUACACGGUGGAUGCCCUGGCAGUCAGAGGCGAUGAAGGACGUGCUAAUCUGCGAAAAGCGCCGGCGAGGUGAUAUGAACCUUUGACCCGGCGAUGUCCGAAUGGGGAAACCCAGUGUGAUUCGUCACACUAUCGUUAACUGAAUACAUAGGUUAACGAGGCGAACCGGGGGAACUGAAACAUCUAAGUACCCCGAGGAAAAGAAAUCAACCGAGAUUCCCCCAGUAGCGGCGAGCGAACGGGGAGCAGCCCAGAGUCUGAAUCAGCUUGUGUGUUAGUGGAAGCGUCUGGAAAGUCGCACGGUACAGGGUGACAGUCCCGUACACGAAAGCACACAGGUUGUGAACUCGAAGAGUAGGGCGGGACACGUGGUAUCCUGUCUGAAUAUGGGGGGACCAUCCUCCAAGGCUAAAUACUCCUGACUGACCGAUAGUGAACCAGUACCGUGAGGGAAAGGCGAAAAGAACCCCGGCGAGGGGAGUGAAAAAGAACCUGAAACCGUGUACGUACAAGCAGUGGGAGCACCUUCGUGGUGUGACUGCGUACCUUUUGUAUAAUGGGUCAGCGACUUAUAUUCUGUAGCAAGGUUAACCGUAUAGGGGAGCCGAAGGGAAACCGAGUCUUAACUGGGCGUUAAGUUGCAGGGUAUAGACCCGAAACCCGGUGAUCUAGCCAUGGGCAGGUUGAAGGUUGGGUAACACUAACUGGAGGACCGAACCGACUAAUGUUGAAAAAUUAGCGGAUGACUUGUGGCUGGGGGUGAAAGGCCAAUCAAACCGGGAGAUAGCUGGUUCUCCCCGAAAGCUAUUUAGGUAGCGCCUCGUGAACUCAUCUUCGGGGGUAGAGCACUGUUUCGGCUAGGGGGCCAUCCCGGCUUACCAACCCGAUGCAAACUACGAAUACCGAAGAAUGUUAUCACGGGAGACACACGGCGGGUGCUAACGUCCGUCGUGAAGAGGGAAACAACCCAGACCGCCAGCUAAGGUCCCAAAGUCAUGGUUAAGUGGGAAACGAUGUGGGAAGGCACAGACAGCCAGGAUGUUGGCUUAGAAGCAGCCAUCAUUUAAAGAAAGCGUAAUAGCUCACUGGUCGAGUCGGCCUGCGCGGAAGAUGUAACGGGGCUAAACCAUGCACCGAAGCUGCGGCAGCGACGCUUAGGCGUUGUUGGGUAGGGGAGCGUUCUGUAAGCCGUUGAAGGUGUGCUGUGAGGCAUGCUGGAGGUAUCAGAAGUGCGAAUGCUGACAUAAGUAACGAUAAAGCGGGUGAAAAGCCCGCUCGCCGGAAGACCAAGGGUUCCUGUCCAACGUUAAUCGGGGCAGGGUGAGUCGACCCCUAAGGCGAGGCCGAAAGGCGUAGUCGAUGGGAAACAGGUUAAUAUUCCUGUACUUGGUGUUACUGCGAAGGGGGGACGGAGAAGGCUAUGUUAGCCGGGCGACGGUUGUCCCGGUUUAAGCAUGUAGGCGGAGGUUCCAGGUAAAUCCGGUACCUUUUAACGCUGAGGUGUGAUGACGAGGCACUACGGUGCUGAAGUAACAAAUGCCCUGCUUCCAGGAAAAGCCUCUAAGCAUCAGGUAACACGAAAUCGUACCCCAAACCGACACAGGUGGUCAGGUAGAGAAUACCAAGGCGCUUGAGAGAACUCGGGUGAAGGAACUAGGCAAAAUGGUGCCGUAACUUCGGGAGAAGGCACGCUGAUAUGUAGGUGAAGCCCCUGCGGGUGGAGCUGAAAUCAGUCGAAGAUACCAGCUGGCUGCAACUGUUUAUUAAAAACACAGCACUGUGCAAACACGAAAGUGGACGUAUACGGUGUGACGCCUGCCCGGUGCCGGAAGGUUAAUUGAUGGGGUUAGCGGCAACGCGAAGCUCUUGAUCGAAGCCCCGGUAAACGGCGGCCGUAACUAUAACGGUCCUAAGGUAGCGAAAUUCCUUGUCGGGUAAGUUCCGACCUGCACGAAUGGCGUAAUGAUGGCCAGGCUGUCUCCACCCGAGACUCAGUGAAAUUGAACUCGCUGUGAAGAUGCAGUGUACCCGCGGCAAGACGGAAAGACCCCGUGAACCUUUACUAUAGCUUGACACUGAACACUGGUCCUUGAUGUGUAGGAUAGGUGGGAGGCUUUGAAGCGUGGACGCCAGUCUGCGUGGAGCCGUCCUUGAAAUACCACCCUUUAAUGGCUGGUGUUCUAACGUAGACCCGUGAUCCGGGUUGCGGACAGUGUCUGGUGGGUAGUUUGACUGGGGCGGUCUCCUCCCAAAGAGUAACGGAGGAGCACGAAGGUUAGCUAAUCCUGGUCGGACAUCAGGAGGUUAGUGCAAUGGCAUAAGCUAGCUUGACUGCGAGAGUGACGGCUCGAGCAGGUGCGAAAGCAGGUCAUAGUGAUCCGGUGGUUCUGAAUGGAAGGGCCAUCGCUCAACGGAUAAAAGGUACUCCGGGGAUAACAGGCUGAUACCGCCCAAGAGUUCAUAUCGACGGCGGUGUUUGGCACCUCGAUGUCGGCUCAUCACAUCCUGGGGCUGAAGUAGGUCCCAAGGGUAUGGCUGUUCGCCAUUUAAAGUGGUACGCGAGCUGGGUUUAGAACGUCGUGAGACAGUUCGGUCCCUAUCUGCCGUGGGCGCUGGAGAAUUGAGGGGGGCUGCUCCUAGUACGAGAGGACCGGAGUGGACGCAUCACUGGUGUUCGGGUUGUCAUGCCAAUGGCACUGCCCGGUAGCUAAAUGCGGAAAAGAUAAGUGCUGAAAGCAUCUAAGCACGAAACUUGCCCCGAGAUGAGUUCUCCCUGACCCUUUAAGGGUCCUGAAGGAACGUUGAAGACGACGACGUUGAUAGGUCGGGUGUGUAAGCGCAGCGAUGCGUUGAGCUAACCGAUACUAAUGAACCGUGAGGCUUAACCUUACAACGCCGAAGCUGUU
Molecule: ribosomal RNA, 2931 nt
Filed under: Enterobacter asburiae
Lineage: Bacteria; Pseudomonadati; Pseudomonadota; Gammaproteobacteria; Enterobacterales; Enterobacteriaceae
Description: 23S ribosomal RNA
Rfam family: Bacterial large subunit ribosomal RNA
Source: RNAcentral